This 218-nucleotide ribosomal RNA is filed under the name uncultured bacterium. RNAcentral's name for it is "partial 16S ribosomal RNA". It matches the Rfam family "Bacterial small subunit ribosomal RNA", at positions 133 to 334 of the family's 1533-position model. The record is from RNAcentral.
CCGGGGGACAAACAUUCCCGAAAAGGGAAUGCUAAUACCGGAUGUGACGCUCCUAUCGCAUGACGGGAGCGUGAAAGAUGGCCUCUACAUGUAAGCUAUCGCUAAAGGAUGGGCCUGCGUCUGAUUAGCUAGUUGGUAGUGUAACGGACAACCAAGGCGAUGAUCAGUAGCCGGUCUGAGAGGAUGAACGGCCACAUUGGGACUGAGACACGGCCCAG